AAAGAAGUUCGAGCAGUCGCUCCGGUUAUGUGCGAGCAUGGCCGGGGAGGAAAGUCCGGGCACCACAGAACAGGAUACCCUGUGUUAAACAGGGGUUCCGCAUUGCGGAAACGGAAAGUGCCACAGAGAAUAGACCGCCCUGUCCCGGUCAGACGGGAUGGAGUGAGAUGUGAAAAGGUGGGGUAAGAGCCCACCGUCCAUAGGGGUAACCUGAGGAGCCGGUAAACCCUAUCCGGUGCAAGACCAAGCAGAGUGGGUCUGUCGUGCAAUGCACGGCAGAGAGGGCUGUUCGUCCUCAAUCCUCUCGGGUAGGUCGCGUAGAUAAAUGGCUGCUUCUCAUGCCCUGUGCAUGAAAGACAAAACCCGGCUUACAGAACUUCUUUCCUU
This 387-nucleotide RNase P RNA is filed under the name Chitinivibrionales bacterium. RNAcentral describes it as "RNase P RNA component class A". It matches the Rfam family "Bacterial RNase P class A". Rfam says of the family: Ribonuclease P (RNase P) is a ubiquitous endoribonuclease, found in archaea, bacteria and eukarya as well as chloroplasts and mitochondria. Its best characterised activity is the generation of mature 5'-ends of tRNAs by cleaving the 5'-leader elements of precursor-tRNAs. Cellular RNase Ps are ribonucleoproteins. Lineage: Bacteria; Pseudomonadati; Fibrobacterota; Chitinivibrionia; Chitinivibrionales. The record is from RNAcentral.